CCUACGGGUGACAGCAGUGGGGGAUAUUGCACAAUGGGGGGAACCCUGAUGCAGCGAAGCCGCGUGGGUGAAGAAGCGCCUCGGCGCGUAAAGCCCUGUCAGCAGGGGAGAAAAUGACGGUACCUGAAGAAGAAGCCCCGGCUAACUACGUGCCAGCAGCCGAGGUACUACGGAGGGGGCAAGCGUGAUCCGGAUUUACUGGGGGUAAAGGGGUCGCAGACGGCGAUGCAAGCCAGGAGUGAAAGCCCGGGGCCGAACCCCAGGACUGCUCUUGGAACUGCGUGGCUGGAGUGCAGGAGGGGCAGGCGGAAUUCCUGGUGUAGCGGUGAAAUGCGUAGAUAUCAGGAGGAACACCGGUGGCGAAGGCGGCCUGCUGGACUGCAACUGACGUUGAGGCCCGAAAGCGUGGGGAGCAAACAGGAUUAGAUACCCUUGUAGUC
This 440-nucleotide ribosomal RNA is filed under the name uncultured bacterium. RNAcentral describes it as "partial 16S ribosomal RNA". It matches the Rfam family "Bacterial small subunit ribosomal RNA", at positions 338 to 795 of the family's 1533-position model. The record is from RNAcentral.